CAGGAUGCGAGUCAGUGCAGACAGGUAGAUCGCGGGUGUGGAGGGCAGGACAGAAGAUACCUGUCACAGAGGGAGAACACCGAAGGCAGGUUUUAAAAUCUGCCCUGAUAACUGUAGCCUGGUUGGCUUUGAACUUUCUAGAAGGACAGAAAGCUGGAUCUGAAGCAGCUCCUUGAACCAGAGUCUCACAGCUGUGAUAGAGCCAAGUCACCAAACACUGUUUCGGAAGGAAAGGGAACGGUGCCUCAUGACGGCCUGGCGCAGAUCCCCUCUGAUAGACACAUGAGAUAGGCAAGUGGAGUUCUGCAACUUGUCACCAUCUGUGGCUAACUGGUCACCAUCAAAUGGCACAGACAGGCAGGCUGGCAGCGUGCCAACAAGAACUGGCGUUCAUUUUUGGAACAAAGGAGGACAUGCAGGCAUGUUUUUCUCUUUCAUUUCCUUUGUUCGGCACUUAUGCCAAUCAGGUGUUCCUACUCCUUGGACCUUCUUGAGCUAACUUUUCACUUCCCUUUGGCUCGUGGAAAAGGGCAUUUUGGGUGCAUUGACUGAUGCCCAUGCAUUUGUGCUAGACUUUGGACAUGAAGGCAUAGGACCGCCCCUAAAAGCAAGCAGAUGAUGAUACACACACAAAAUGCAGAUGUUUGUGGACUUCGCACGCGGGCAGACCUGUGAGCUCCAUUUCGCAGGCCAACAGGCUGAGCCUGCUGCCCGGUCAGAGUGAGAGGUUCCUAACUGACAAAACCUCCUUUUUAGAAGAAUAAAAUAGAAGGUUACUGAGUCUUCGAGCUAAUCUGUCUAAUUAGAUGCCUCUGAGCAAAAUGCAUAAAAUUUGCAUGAAUUAUCCUAACAGGCGAAGCAUAGGACAGAGGAAGGAAAAACUACAGGAAAUUUGCAUUUUGAUGGUAGUAGGGGAGGCCUGGAGACUAUGUUCCAGAAGGUCUUUUCUGCUUUUAUGUUUAGGAGCUACACUCAGGAGGAGCUGCCCUGUGCUGCAUGUUGUCAGCAAAGACGGCCCCUGGCAUCCUCUGCUUUGCAGGCAGCUCCUCCAAGUCUUGUCUGCGGACUGCCUUCCGGGCAGGCUGGCGUCGAGCCCAGUGGGAGGAAGCUUUCUUAAAAAGGCAGUGCCAGGGGACGGGGGUAAUCCGUUUCAGUACUGGCCUUUCCCUGGCUGGAGGGACAGUUACUACAUCUUGGCCUCUAGGUGGCGCUGUUGCACCUGUUGUAAGAAGCACUUUGUAGCUAUAUCCCUGAUAUGUUUAAAAUGGAGGGAGAGGAGAAAAAGAAUAUUGAAUAAAAUACAGCUGCCUCUUCUUGCUGCUCUCCUGUUACCCACUUCCUAACAUCACGACCCUCUCCACCUAGGCACAGCCGCUCCAUGCAGCCCAAAGGACACGAUAUGUUGUUUAACCUCGUAUGCUUUGUUUAAAGCCAGUGGUUCUUUCAGUUCCAUUGCUCUGUGUGCACAUAGCAAGCUCAGGGAUAAUUCACCGGAGAGCUAAAGUCCCCAAGAUAAUACUCGCCUCUCUCCGUUUUACUUCCCCCGCCCCCACCCUCUCAGUUCUCUUUGUUGCUGGGAUGUUUACUGCGGUGGGAACCUGGGCUGCGGUAGAGGCCUUUCCUUGGACCCGGAAGGCAGCGCUUAAUAAUGGAAAUCAGGGCUGAAGGGAGCAGGUGGGCAGUGAUGUCACAGGGGAGAUGGCAACCUGACCCAAAUGGGGAAGGGACAGAGGGAAGAGAGCCCAUUACUGCCUCUCCCUGUCCAUUCUUCCUGGCUGUCUAGAAAACCUGUCUCCUCCUGGGCUGACAGGUUUAGGCCAAGUGUGCGAAUCACAUUCUGAUGUCUAACUAGAGGUAGUAAUGUGGAGACCCAGGGGGACGUGCUCAUUCAUUAACAUAGCCUCUGUUUUCCUGGUGCUGUGAACUGGGCAUCCUACUGACCCGUUAGGCAAAGGCUUGAGAACAGUCCUAAAGGUGUUUGCAAAAAAUAAGGUGGGAAUUUUGGGAGAUGGGACUAAUUCUCACCACAUCAUA
This is a long non-coding RNA of Bubalus bubalis (water buffalo), 2034 nucleotides long. RefSeq lists it as uncharacterized. The record is from RefSeq and is a predicted model, not a curated record. NCBI's taxonomy places the organism in Eukaryota, Metazoa, Chordata, Mammalia, Artiodactyla, Bovidae. The transcript has 4 exons.